RNAcentral lists this unclassified non-coding RNA (232 nucleotides) under uncultured fungus. RNAcentral describes it as "partial contains small subunit ribosomal RNA, internal transcribed spacer 1, and 5.8S ribosomal RNA". The stretch from base 1 to 73 matches the Rfam family "Eukaryotic small subunit ribosomal RNA", at positions 1759 to 1831 of the family's 1831-position model. Lineage: Eukaryota; Fungi. The record is from RNAcentral.
GCAAACUUGGUCAUUUAGAGGAAGUAAAAGUCGUAACAAGGUCUCCGUAGGUGAACCUGCGGAGGGAUCAGUAGAGAAAAAGAAACGUCCAUGACGUACCCGUGGAAGCGAGGGGAGUGAAUCGGCCCUUGGCCGAGGAAACGCAUUAGAGUAUGAAGUCUGAAUCUACAAAGAGAAAAAGAAAACUUUCAACAACGGAUCUCUUGGCUCUUGCAUCGAUGAAGAACGCAGC